This 492-nucleotide ribosomal RNA is filed under the name uncultured bacterium. RNAcentral's name for it is "partial 16S ribosomal RNA". It matches the Rfam family "Bacterial small subunit ribosomal RNA", at positions 29 to 507 of the family's 1533-position model. The record is from RNAcentral.
AGUGAACGCUGGCGGUAGGCCUAACACAUGCAAGUCGAACGGCAGCACAGUAAGAGCUUGCUCUUACGGGUGGCGAGUGGCGGACGGGUGAGGAAUACAUCGGAAUCUACUUUUUCGUGGGGGAUAACGUAGGGAAACUUACGCUAAUACCGCAUACGACCUACGGGUGAAAGCAGGGGAUCUUCGGACCUUGCGCGAUUGAAUGAGCCGAUGUCGGAUUAGCUAGUUGGCGGGGUAAAGGCCCACCAAGGCGACGAUCCGUAGCUGGUCUGAGAGGAUGGUCAGCCACACUGGAGCUGAGACACGGUCCAGAGUCCUACGAGAGGCAGCAGUGGGGAAUAUUGGACAGUAGGCGCAAGCCUGAUCCAGCGAUAGCGCGUAGGUGAAGAAGGCCUUCGGGUUGUAAAGCCCUUUUGUUGGGGAAGAAAAGCAGCAGGUUAAUACGCCGCUGUUCUGACGGUACCCAAAGAAUAAGCACCGGCUAACUUCGUG